ACGCGUGGAACCUUACCAGGUCUUGACAUCCUCUGACACUCCUAGAGAUAGGACGUUCCCCUUCGGGGGACAGAGUGACAGGUGGUGCAUGGUUGUCGUCAGCUCGUGUCGUGAGAUGUUGGGUUAAGUCCCGCAACGAGCGCAACCCUUGAUCUUAGUUGCCAGCAUUAAGUUGGGCACUCUAAGGUGACUGCCGGUGACAAACCGGAGGAAGGUGGGGAUGACGUCAAAUCAUCAUGCCCCUUAUGACCUGGGCUACACACGUGCUACAAUGGAUGGUACAAAGGGCAGCAAAACCGCGAGGUCGAGCAAAUCCCAUAAAACCAUUCUCAGUUCGGAUUGCAGGCUGCAACUCGCCUGCAUGAAGCUGGAAUCGCUAGUAAUCGCGGAUCAGCAUGCCGCGGUGAAUACGUUCCCGGGCCUUGCACUCACCGCCCGU
This 439-nucleotide ribosomal RNA is filed under the name uncultured bacterium. RNAcentral describes it as "bacterial SSU rRNA". It matches the Rfam family "Bacterial small subunit ribosomal RNA", at positions 959 to 1397 of the family's 1533-position model. The record is from RNAcentral.